Molecule: ribosomal RNA, 302 nt
Filed under: uncultured bacterium
Lineage: Bacteria
Description: bacterial SSU rRNA
Rfam family: Bacterial small subunit ribosomal RNA
Source: RNAcentral
GCGUGAGGGAAGAAGCUCUACGGAGUGUAAACCUCUGUUAGGAGGGAUGAAGACUGUAAUGGUAAACAAUCAUUGCAGGAAGACAGUACCUCCAAAGAAAGCCCCGGCUAACUCCGUGCCAGCAGCCGCGGUAAUACGGGGGGGGCAAGCGUUGUCCGGAAUUACUGGGCGUAAAGGGCGUGUAGGCGGAUAGGUCAGUCUAGAGUGAAAUCCUACAGCUUAACUGUAGAAUUGCCUUUGAUACUACCUGUCUUGAGUUCGGGAAAGGGAAGCGGAAUUCCUGGUGUAGCGGUGAAAUGCGU